This 1609-nucleotide long non-coding RNA is filed under the name Gossypium barbadense (sea-island cotton). Its description in RNAcentral is "long non-coding RNA (GBAR_LNC011471)". The record is from RNAcentral. Lineage: Eukaryota; Viridiplantae; Streptophyta; Magnoliopsida; Malvales; Malvaceae.
UGCUCCUUUCUGAAAUAGAGUUUUCCCAAUUUUUCAUCCGCAAAUUCUCAAUAAAUUUUCCAGAUUUGAAGAUAUCCUUCAAUUCAGCCGUUUGACCCUCAUUUCCUUUAUUAAUUUCAGCUUCCAAAUCCAAAACUUCCAUAUCUACUAAAGCAUCAAAUCGAGAACCUGAUUUUCUUUCCCGAAAACUAGCUUUGCAGGAAUUACUACUCCUGAAAUUUCGCACUGCUUUCUUCUCCACUACCAUCCAAGGCCCGUAAACGGCGCUUUCACCUUCGCUGACCUCCUUAGCCUGAGUAACUCCCGACUGGUCCUUCUCCGAUGAAGCCUCUGGUUGCAAUGAGCCGCACAAUUCUUUGGUAUGUCCAUAUUUCCUACAUGUAAAACAAAUCGUAGGAAGACCUUCAUAUUCAACCUUCUGAUACAAACCAUUAACACGAACUUGAGCAAUCAGGGGCUUAUCCAGGUUGUUGUAGACGGCCAUCCUAGCAAAUCUGCCUCUAGCUCUGCUAUCCGUGUUAAAAUCUAACCGGAGCACUUUGCCAAUGGUCCCUUCAAUUUCCUCAAUUAUUUUCUUUUUGUACAGGUACCCUGGAACGCCUAGAAGUCUUUAUCCAAGCCAUCACCAUGGUUGGAUAUGGUUGUGAGGGGGUAAACUCUUUGGUCCAAGGUUGGACAGUCAAAUAUUAUCCAUAAAUUAACCAGCCCUGCGACAGUACUUUAGCAUAAUCGCCAGUUGAUUGAAACUUAGCCAGAAAAUAUCCAUUCUCAAUAUCCAUGAGAUGGAAGGGCAUGGAUGGAUUCCAUAGGCUACUGAUACGACUGUGAAGCGCCCCAUACCCAACAUUCCUUCCAAGCAAUUUUAAGACAACCGUGGACUCCAUUUCUUUAAAUAAAAUUUGUUGGAUUCUUUCAGAAAAAGUCAAUAGUAGGAAUUCCAUUGACGAAAGAUCUAUGUAUAUCUCCAUCCAAAAAUUCCAGAUCUUCAUCAGCACUAACACCAGGAGACUCCAACCCUUUCUUAUUCAGAGACCCAAAAGCAGGGAUUUAAAUAGCGGUCCGUUACCGAAAUAGCGGCCGUUAUAUAGCGGUAGCGGCACCGUCCGAAACCGCUACUGCCGAAACCCGCUAUACCCGCAAUACACAAUAAGUAAUGUAAAAUUCACGACCGCGAUACCUGCAAUGACCGCAAUAGCAUCCGUUAUGUCCGCAACCGCGAUAAACGCAAUGCGACCGAAAACGCGACCACGACCGCAAUUUAAAUCCCUGCCCAAAAAUAAUCCCCAAAAGUUUGUCCUUCCAAGAGAUCGUAGGGCCAAAACUGGAUUCAACCACCAUAUCAAUAAUUUCCUCUUCACUACCAUUUUUGAACUGGACUUUUUUCGUGUUGCAAUCAGCAACUACCUGAUCACCACCACCAUCUUCAUCUUCCGGCAGAGAAGAAAUAGCAUCAACAGACAGAGAGUUUUCCAUUUUUUUAUUCAUUAUAAAAUUUUCUUACUAAUCAAGUAAACAUAUACAUGGUGUAAAUCAUGGCGAUGGUAAAUAUAUUUAUUAAACAUAUAUUUGGAUAUAGUCUCCAAAUUAUUAUAUAUUUACAAAGUUUGGG